RNAcentral lists this ribosomal RNA (407 nucleotides) under uncultured bacterium. Its description in RNAcentral is "partial 16S ribosomal RNA". It matches the Rfam family "Bacterial small subunit ribosomal RNA", at positions 30 to 526 of the family's 1533-position model. The record is from RNAcentral.
AUUGAACGCUGGCGGCAGGCCUAACACAUGCAAGUCGAGCGGUGCUGGCGACGGGCGAGUAAUGACUAGGUAUCUGCCCGGUCGUGGGGGCUGAGGUCAGGUCAGGGGCGCUAAUACCACAUACUUUUAGCUGAGCCUAGGUCGGAUUAGCUAGUUGGUGGGGUAACGGCUUACCAAGGCGACGAUCCAUAACUGGUCUGAGAGGAUGAUCAGUCACACUGGAACUGAGACACGGUCCAGACUCCUACGGGAGGCAGCAGUGGGGAAUAUUGCGCAAUGGGCGAAAGCCUGACCCAGCAACGCCGCGUGUGUGAAGAAGGUCUUCGCAUUGUAAAGCACUUUAAGUAGGGAGGCGUUACCAACAGAAUAAGCACCGGCUAACUUCGUGCCAGCAGCCGCGGUAAUUC